Molecule: long non-coding RNA, 1465 nt
Organism: Cephus cinctus (wheat stem sawfly)
Lineage: Eukaryota; Metazoa; Arthropoda; Insecta; Hymenoptera; Cephidae
Exons: 3
Source: RefSeq, a predicted model, not a curated record
UGGCAAGAAUCAUGCCAAGCGCAACUAGGAUUCCGGAACAGACACCAGCAAGGACGUAAAACAUACUCUCGUGUUCAUCCCUAUCCUGAGGUGCAUGUCCAGCAGCACCUUCUAGAGGAACAGAAAGUAAAAGGGCGGCCUUAGAAGAGGAUUCCUGGAGGAGGGUUCAGUGGUGGCGGAAGGUGGCACAAUCAAACGAGGUCCUGGGCUGAAAGCCGUCCCGAAGACAGCAUUAUCGAAAUGCUUCUCCUCAAGAAGCUGAAGCUCAUUAGGGUUUUCGUCCUCGUCCAAAGGCGAUUUCAAUUUAUACUCAUCGAGAAACAUUGGCGAGACACUAUGGCACCAAACGGAGUAUACAUAGGAAGACCUAAUUCACCAGGAGUUGAAGAGCACUGUAUCGCUCGUACUACUAAGAGUACUACUAGUAGUAGUAAUAUGCCAGGAAGUCGUACACGGCGUGGAAUACCAGUAGACUCCCUGGGGAAUAAAUAGAGCCAUAAACCCGGCUGUUUGCCAGGCGGCCCUCACGAAUUCUCAUCCAAGUACUUGAGUCCCUUGUUGGCAUAGUUCAAGGAGCACACGGUUCCGCUCCGCCAUAGAAUGCGAGAACUCCACUUUAACGGUACAACGAGCAAGCGAAACAAUGCUAUCCUUUGAUCGGAUUUCGUUCUCUAAUCAAUAUCGAUUCGCAAGACUCGAUUGCACGGUAGUCACACAGAUUUCCCAAGAUAUUUAGUAUUAACUGGCUAUUUUUUUUACUUCGUUAACUAUAAAUAUGUUCGUGAGUAAUCUAUCUUCGUGAAGAUUAUUUUUUAGAAGAUUAUCCUUCUUACUCAAUAUGAAUCAAUCAAUUCUAUAUCAUUUCAAUUAUUUAUAGUAAACCUUUUGACAGGAGAAAAAAGUUCUUUAUGGAGAUUGUCCUGAUGUAAUGCAACUCGUCUUUCAGAAUGAAUUAAUAAACCCUUUCAAUUAGUGUGCUAACCCAGAUAGACAGAUAUACAUAAAUUUUGCUGCAAUUUUACCUGAAAUUGAAUCACGAAAUAUAUAAUGCUCACCUGACAGUCACAUUUGCUAAAUUAAACGAUGAAAUUAUAGUGUAAGAACAAUCGGUAAUGUUGAUUAUACCUGAUUGCUUCAUUCACUGUGCCAAGAAAGAAAAAUAACUUUAUCCUCUUCAUAAUCUACCAAAGUAUAUAGUAAAUAUGGUUUAAGUGUACCUCAUAUCAUAAUCGAAAAGAAUUUUUAUUUAACCUCGCCAUUGCUUCGUAUUUACAUCAUCCCGUGAUCGUUCAGUAAAAGCCGCACAUGACUAUAUUCUGUGUAGAAAAUUUGGUGGAUUAAAAGGGUUACCUAGAAGUAUUACUUUGCUAUAUGCAUUUGAGAGAUGCACUAUAUUUGCGAAUUGAUUGUUCCACGUCCUGCCACCUAGCGGACAUAUGUACAUACUCCGAAUCAGUCAGUCUAU